RNAcentral lists this unclassified non-coding RNA (2666 nucleotides) under Leishmania donovani. Its description in RNAcentral is "gene:LdHU3.10.1670(CDS-product:hypothetical_prote in_conserved)". The record is from RNAcentral. Lineage: Eukaryota; Euglenozoa; Kinetoplastea; Trypanosomatida; Trypanosomatidae.
CCUUUUUUUCGCACCCUGUCGAAUCUGCGUGCGUGUACGACGUUCGCGGAUAAGAAGGUGCUUCAUGCGUGGCUCCACCAGCGCCAACGCGUUCUCGGACGCCAGUGUGCAGGCCGCUGUGCUGGAGGAAUGGAAAAAAAGAAGCGCCAAGCACAAGGAAGCAGCAAUCUCUCUGCGGGAAAAGGUGCGGCAGCUGAAAAGUGAUGCAGAGGCUGGCCGUCGCGCUGCCCAGUGGAUGCAAGAGCGCGACGCUCUCAAUUGCGAGCAGGAAGCCUGCGAAGCGGCGCUGGGUGCGAUAGAGAAGAGCCUUGGUGACGUAGUGUCUGACGCCGACGGUGAGCGCCACCAGCUGGAGCUCUCGGCGCUGAAGGUUUUACUGUCCCAGCAGCUGACGGAGGUUGGUGCCCUGUGGCACACGUCCAAUGCACGGCAGCUCCAAACUAGCUCUAGUGGUGCAGCUUCGGUGGAUCGGGUCGUUGACAUUCGCGAGUGGAUUGCGGAGGAGCUCAGAAAGUGCGAGGCGAACAUAGAGGCACUUGCCACGCCUUCUGCGGGCUUCGAACAUCAGCAAAAGGCCGUCGUCGAGUGCCGUGCUGCUGCCCGGCAGGCACAGCUGACAUUUGCGGCACUGUGCGACUCCUACCACCCAGCACACCAGCUGCGCGUUACCUUUGAGGCAGCGUUGAAGAGCGCGGAGGAAGAUACCUUGGCCCGUAUCGAGGGUGCCCGCGCUCCGAGGGCAGCAGCAACGCCGCCGGAAAUUCUUCGGACCGUGGGGCUCAUCGUGAGGAUGGGCCAGAGCGCACGACAGUUUGAUAUUUCGGCAGCCACCAUGACUGCCUUGGCAGAGCGGGUAUCGGCGGUGUACCCCGGCAUGCCCUCCGCCCAAGUUCACGUGGCCGUCGAGGAGUCUAUAGCGCUUCGGAAAGCGCGGGCGCUGUCGCAGGCUGCCGUGUCAGACUUCCAGCGAACGAACAUCUCUCUUUUGUCCUCAUGCGAAUCUGCGUUUCUUGUUGCCCAGCAGUCGGAAAAGCAGCGGCAGGAGAAGGCAGAGGCUGCGCGGCAGCGCGUAGAAGCGCAAAAUCGGCGGCACGCACAUCUCACAGAGGAACGCGCCGCUUACGAGGCUGUGCUGCGACAGCGCCAGAGCGUCAAGGAACGAAUGCAGGCAGCAGCGGUAGCGAAAGAGAAGGCGCUGCAGGCAAAACGCGCCAUCGAGUUUCAAGAGCGCCUCCGUCUCUUUGAGGCAUACGAAGUGCAGCAGUCGGCGCUCCGGCAGAAGGAGCGGGAGCUGGCGGAGCUGCAGGCGCAGGCAAUGGAGGAGGAGAAGGCAGCACGUAUGCGCCGCAACGAAGAGCGGGUUGAGUACCGACGCCAGCGGGACGAACAGCGGCAAUCAGAGAAGAAGAAGCGCGAGCAAGAACUGCUAGAGCUGCGGGCCAAGAAGCAGGAUGCACUUCAGCGUUUCUUCGCUUCUGUUGAUAAACAGAUCGGUGUGGAGGCCGACCCGCAGCGUUUCCUCAAAGCAACCUCCUCGAGCGCACAAACGGAGCGGUACACGACGCUUGCACAGACCGUGAUGCCGUCGAUAACAGGCUACUCCGAUGAGCAGAUUAUGAAGGAUCCGCGUGUGCGACUGUAUCACGCAUUACUUGCUGCCGGCCUGCACACCACCCCAUACGGACGAGAGGUGGCAACCCGUGGAUACCGCGUUUCCGCUGCCCAGCAGAGCAGCGAGGGAAAUCCUCUGCGUCGCGAGUUCUCAUAAUAGGGUGGAAGGGCCGCUCGCUACGCCUGCGGCGAUGCAAGAAAAGGGAAAGAAGAGGCAGGGUCUGUCGCGUGCUCUUCACGCCACCCCCGCCCUCUCCCCGCUGCAGCACUGGGGCUGUGGUGCCCAAUGCACACAACGGCUACCAAGAAUGGAUGAGAAAAGGUCAAGCUGCGAAAGCAGUUCCCCGGCACCCGCACAAUGAACUGACUGUUUUCGACUGCUUUACACAUCAGCGUUUAUCAGUUGCCAUAGCCACCACCGCUAGCACAUCCACCAGCACCACCAUUUUUACAUGUGAGCCACUGCGCUGUACACGAGUUGUUGUCUCUUCUCCAGUGCAUAUUGUGUCUCCCAGUCUAGACGCAGUGCAUUCAUUGCUGUGCAAGAGGAUGCACAAAGAACAGCGGGGGGAGCCAAGAAGGCUCUCCCCGUUUCAGGUAGACGAGGGACGAGGGCGCACUCACGCAUGUAUUUCGGCACGGUGGCACUGCCGAUGGCCUUCAAAGAUGAUUGCUGCGUUACUGCCCGGCAGAGCGGAGGCUCUGUGCCUUUGGUCACAUGCAGAUUUCGUCUCUGUAGUUUUGCUCCUCUCGGUCGCCUUGCUUGGUCUCCGGCACGCUUGGCUUGCCACUCUCGCACAAAUUCUGCCCUCUUUUUUUUCUUCGGUCCCCAUUCUCACUGUUUCCCCGUCACUCUUACCACGGUUGCUGCGCCCGUCACCUCACAUUAUGACUAUGCCAUGCCAUCCGCCUCGUGUCUUUCUUCCCCUCUCCCUUCCCCUUCCUCCCGGCCCUCCCCCUCCUCACGCACACACCACCCUGCGCCACGUACGUAUCCCCGACUAAUCUGCUCUACGUUGGUUGUCUUUGCACACGACAUGGCCAUCCUGGCCAAG